RNAcentral lists this ribosomal RNA (254 nucleotides) under uncultured bacterium. Its description in RNAcentral is "partial small subunit ribosomal RNA". It matches the Rfam family "Bacterial small subunit ribosomal RNA", at positions 26 to 285 of the family's 1533-position model. The record is from RNAcentral.
AGGACGAACGCUGGCGGCGUGCUUAACACAUGCAAGUCGAGCGGAAAGGCCCUUCGGGGUACUCGAGCGGCGAACGGGUGAGUAACACGUGAGUAACCUGCCCCUAGCUCUGGGAUAGCUCCGGGAAACCGGGAUUAAUACCAGAUACGACCACUUUAGACAUCUGUCGUGGUGGAAAGUUUUUCGGCCAGGGAGGGGCUCGCGGCCUAUCAGCUUGUUGGAGGGGUAACGGCCCACCAAGGCGACGACGGGUA